GACACCUUCAGUAUGAAUGCUCUGAAUACGAGCUACCUGACGGAUAAAUGCCCCAGGAAAUCAGGGAUACCUCAGGAAAGCCGCGUGGAACUCUCUCUCGGACUAACUCUCAGCCAUGGCUGGUCAGAACUGUCUGUUUGGAGUGUAAUCCCCAACUAAACCUGUUACUACUAUUACUGAGGUAGGAGUCACGGCUGGAAUAUGCAGCAGAAAUAAACCAAAAGGUUAUAGAGGCUUGCUAUAUAUUUCAACAUUUUCCAGGUCUUUUCUUUCUGAUUGAGCACCAUUUUAAUAUGUAUUAGUUACUACAUGUUAACCAGAAAAGCCUUGGCUUUAUGGGAAGGAAUCAAACCUAUCAUUUACAACUAAAAUAGGUUAAAGGAUCACUAUAGGGUCAGGUACACAAACAUGUAUUCCUGACCCUAUAGUGUCAAAACCACCAUCUAGCACCCCUGGGCCCCUCUAUAAAUAUAGCAAAAUCUUACUGUAUUCAAGCCAGAAGUUGUAGAUCUGCAUGCUGUUUGCCUAAAAAAAAAAAAUCAAGCAGUCUGCUGACAUCAUCAGAAGUGGUAGCCUGAUCCAAUCACAAUGCUUCCCCAUAGGAUUGGCUGAGACUGACAAGGAGGCAGAUCAGGGGCAGAGCCAGCAUGGUUCAGACACAGCCAUGGCCAAUCAGUAUCUUCUCAUGAAUUGAAUCAAUGAAUCUCUAUGAGGAAAGUUCAAUGUCUGCAUGCAGAGGGAGGAGACACUGAAUGUUUGGAUGCAUUUUAGACAGCCAUGACCCAGGAAGGAUCUCUAACAGCCAUCUAAGGAGUGGCCAGUGAAGUUAUCACUAGGCUGUAAUGUAAACACUGCAUUUACUCUGAAAAGACAGUGUUUACAGCAAAAAGCCUGAAGGUAAUGAUUCUCCUCACCUGAACAAAUUCAAUAAGCUGUAGUUGUUCUGGUGACUAUAGUGUCCCUUUAAGUUUCUGUCUAAAACAUUGUUUUGUGUUUUGUUUUUUGUUUCUUCCUGCUGCUCAGGAUGUCGAGAAGCCUCACCUCUGUCCUGGGCCAGAUUAAGAGGAUCACUAUAGAGUCAGGUACACAAACAUGUAUUCCUGACCCCAUAGUGUUAAAACCACCAUCUAGCCCCCCUGGGCCCCUCAUGCCUCCAUAAAUAUAGCAAAAUCUUACUGUAUUCAAGCCUGAAGCUGUAACUCUGCAUGCUGUUUGCCUCAGAAAAACAAGCAGUCUGCUGACAUCAUUAGAAGUGGUAGCCUGAUCCAAUCACAGUGCUUCCCCAUAGGAUUGGCUGAGACUGAAAAAGAGUCAGAUCAGGGGCAGAGCCAGCAUGAUUCAAACACAGCCCUGGCCAAUCAGCAUCUCCUCAUAUAGAUGAAUUUAAUUAAUGAAUCUCUAUGAGGAAUGUUCAGUGUCUGCAUGCAGAGGGAAGAGACACUGAAUGUUUGGAUGCAUUUUAGGCAGCCAUGACCCAGGAAGGAUCUCUAACAGCCAUCUAAGGAGUGGCCAGUGAAGUUAUCACUGGGCUGUAAUGUAAACACUGCAUUUUCUCUGAAAAGACAGUGUUUACAGCAAAAAGCCUGAAGGUAACGAUUCUCCUCACCUGAACAAAUUCAAUAAGCUGUAGUUGUUCUGGUGACUAUAGUGUCCCUUUAAGUUUCUGUCUAUAACAUUGUUUUGUGUUUUGUUUUUUGUUUCUUCCUGCUGCUCAGGAUGUCGAGAAGCCUCACCUCGCUCUGUCCUCCUCCGACUUCCCGGGCUCUCGAGGAUCGUGGAGAACAUCUCCUGCGCUUCCUCAGGCUACUGGCAGCCAUCUUGGAUCACGGCAGCCAUUUUUAGGUUUCUUACAUUACAGGUUAUUGCUGAUAUCGAUUCUGAUUUCAUUAAGAGGGUGAGCCCCUCUCACCUACUCAGCCCUACGCUGAUAUUGGUUCUAACUGCUUGCUUAGAGGUGAACCCCCUCUUGUGAACUCAGCCCGAUGCUGAUAUUGAUGCUAGUUCCUAUUAGAGAGUAAGCCCCUCUCAUAUACUCAGGCCAACACUGAUAUUGAUACUAAUUUCAUUAUUAGAGGGUGCUGUCUAAUUCAGCUUUUACCAUUUAAUAAUAUGUGAGAGAGCAAUUAAAGAUUGUUUACAUGUGCCAUCUGAUUAUUCUUGUUUUCACAUGUGCCAUCUAAUCACUCCCUGUACCCUUGAUCUUGCACUGAUAUUUCCCAGAGAUUCCUAGACACAGACAUUUUACUAAGUAGC
Molecule: long non-coding RNA, 2253 nt
Filed under: Pelobates cultripes (western spadefoot toad)
Lineage: Eukaryota; Metazoa; Chordata; Amphibia; Anura; Pelobatidae
Source: RNAcentral